RNAcentral lists this ribosomal RNA (245 nucleotides) under uncultured bacterium. RNAcentral describes it as "partial small subunit ribosomal RNA". It matches the Rfam family "Bacterial small subunit ribosomal RNA", at positions 26 to 285 of the family's 1533-position model. The record is from RNAcentral.
AGAAUCAACGCUGGCGGCGUGCCUAACACAUGCAAGUCGCACGAGAAAGGGGAGCAAUCCCUGAGUACAGUGGCGCACGGGUGAGUAACACGUGAAUAAUCUACCUCCGAGUGGGGAAUAACUGAGAGAAAUCUUAGCUAAUACCGCAUAACACUUACGAGUCAAAGCAGCAAUGCGCUUGGAGAGGAGUUCGCGGCCGAUUAGUUAGUUGGCGGGGUAAUGGCCCACCAAGACGAUGAUCGGUA